This 537-nucleotide ribosomal RNA is filed under the name Triticum aestivum (bread wheat). RNAcentral describes it as "partial small subunit ribosomal RNA". The record is from RNAcentral. Lineage: Eukaryota; Viridiplantae; Streptophyta; Magnoliopsida; Poales; Poaceae.
AUGGUGGCGUUGUGGCAUAUCUGGGAAGCAAGGAACUGUGCCCGUAACAAGCCGGUUGCUCCUGAGCCGAAACGCACAGCAGCUAAGGUGCAGGCCUACUCGGAGAUGAUCUUUCCACACCUUUUCAAGCCUGGGCGGGCGGCUCCGCGAGCGCCACCGGUUGUUUCUACUUCUGGCUGGUCUCCUCCCCCGCAAGGCACUCUUCUUCUUUCUUCUGAUGCGGCGGUGGACUUGGUGCGGGGCUCGUCGUCAGUUGGAGUUGUGGUGCAGGACUACUCUGGCCAGUGUGUGGCAGCGGCAUCUGAACCUCUUCCUGGCGUCUCUUCUCCAGAGCUGGCCGAAGCGCUGGCCCUGCGACGGGCAGCUCUGCUGGCUCGCCGGGAGGGCUUCCAGCAUGUGAUCUUCCAGUCUGACUGUCUUUCGGUGAUCCAAAGGCUGCAAUGUUCAGCCCGAGACCGUUCCAUGGUGGGAUCAAUUAUCUCUGACAUCAAGGGGAUUUGUGAAGCUCUGUCGUCUGUGUCCUUCAUGCAUGUUCGU